UCCUGAUCCCNCCAUGCCGCGUGCAGGAAGACAGUCCUAUNGAUUGUAAACUGCUUUUAUACAGGAAGAAAAAAUCUGACUUGUCAGAUAUUGACGGUACUGUAUGAAUAAGAAUCGGCUAACUCCGUGCCAGCAGCCGCGGUAAUACGGAGGAUUCGAGCGUUAUCCGGAAUCAUUGGGUUUAAAGGGUUCGUAGGCGGGACAAUAAGUCAGUGGUGAAAGUUUGUGGCUCAACCAUAAAAUUGCCAUUGAUACUGUUGUUCUUGAGUUAUUGUGAAGUGGUUAGAAUGUGUAGUGUAGCGGUGAAAUGCGUAGAUAUUACACAGAACACCAAUUGCGAAGGCAUAUCACUAACAAUAUACUGACGCUGAUGAACGAAAGCGUAGGUAGCCAACAGGAUUAGAUACCCUGGUAGUCUACGCUGUAAACUAUGGUUACUAGCUGUUCGGAGCACAUUAGUGCACUGAGUGGUUAAGCGAAAGUGAUAAGUAACCCACCUGGGGAGUACGUUUGCAAGAAUGAAACUCAAAGGAAUUGACGGGGGCCCGCACAAGCGGUGGAGCAUGUGGUUUAAUUCGAUGAUACGCGAGGAACCUUACCAAGGCUUAAAUGCAUAUUGACAGUUCACGAAAGUGAAUUUUCUUCGGACAAUUUGCAAGGUGCUGCAUGGUUGUCGUCAGCUCGUGCCGUGAGGUGUCAGGUUAAGUCCUAUAACGAGCGCANCCCCUGUGGUUAGUUA
This 739-nucleotide ribosomal RNA is filed under the name uncultured Bacteroidota bacterium. RNAcentral describes it as "bacterial SSU rRNA". It matches the Rfam family "Bacterial small subunit ribosomal RNA", at positions 381 to 1117 of the family's 1533-position model. Lineage: Bacteria; Pseudomonadati; Bacteroidota. The record is from RNAcentral.